GACGAACGCUGGCGGCGUGCUUAACACAUGCAAGUCGAGGGGUCUCCGCAAGGGGGCGACCGCGAACGGGUGCGUAACACGUGAGCGACCUGCCGUCCCUGUGGGGGAGUAGCCAGCCCAACGGCCGGGUAAUACCGCAUACGCUCUGGCCCGGGCAUCUGGGCGANAAGAAAGCUGGGGCAACCUGGCGCAGGACGAGGGGCUCGCGGCCUAUCAGCUGGUUGGCGGGGUAACGGCCCACCAAGGCGACGACGGGUAGCUGGUCUGAGAGGAUGGCCAGCCACA
RNAcentral lists this ribosomal RNA (285 nucleotides) under uncultured bacterium. RNAcentral describes it as "partial 16S ribosomal RNA". It matches the Rfam family "Bacterial small subunit ribosomal RNA", at positions 28 to 312 of the family's 1533-position model. The record is from RNAcentral.